AUUGAACGCUGGCGGCAUGCUUUACACAUGCAAGUCGAACGGUAACAGGUUAAGCUGACGAGUGGCGAACGGGUGAGUAAUGCAUCGGAACGUGCCCGGUCGUGGGGGAUAACGCAGCGAAAGCUGCGCUAAUACCGCAUACGAUCUGAGGAUGAAAGCGGGGGACCGUAAGGCCUCGCGCGAUCGGAGCGGCCGAUGUCAGAUUAGGUAGUUGGUGGGGUAAAGGCUCACCAAGCCAACGUUCUGUAGCUGGUCUGAGAGGACGACCAGCCGCACUGGGGCGGAGACACGGCCCAGACUCCUACGGGAGGCAGCAGUGGGGAAUUUUGGACAAUGGGCGAAAGCCUGAUCCAGCAAUGCCGCGUGCAGGAAGAAGGCCUUCGGGUUGUAAACUGCUUUUGUACGGAGCGAAAAGGUCUCCUCUAAUACAGGGGGCUCAUGACGGUACCGUAAGAAUAAGCACCGGCUAACUACGUGCCAGCAGCCGCAGUAA
RNAcentral lists this ribosomal RNA (493 nucleotides) under uncultured bacterium. Its description in RNAcentral is "partial 16S ribosomal RNA". It matches the Rfam family "Bacterial small subunit ribosomal RNA", at positions 29 to 523 of the family's 1533-position model. The record is from RNAcentral.